UAGGAAUCUGCCUCUUCACCACACAGACCACCUCUGUCUAUUCAUCUCUUUCAGGUCUCUUGGAUCUGUUUGUUUCUGCAGUUGCUAAGUAUAUUCAAGUUAGCGGAGUACAUUUUAAAUAUGUUUAUCAUGAAGUAGGGCCGGGGAAGACCAAGUUCUACAUCAUAUUUUGGCAGGAUUCCUAUUUGGAGCUUCUCUCCGGCUUGUUCUUGCUGUUGAUGGAGCAUUUUCACAGGUGGACAUCGAACAUGUCUCACCUCCAAAUCAGCACACAAAACCCCCCCACGACACGGCAUGACAGCAGCCUUUGAUGGUGUCUUUGCAAGCAGAGAUGAGCAUCUAACAGAUCGUCAACACUUCAGGCACCAGCCGUAGUCCCAAAAAGAGAGAAGGGAAGAAUCAUGGACUGAAACAAAAGGAGGACAAGAGAGGCAUGAGAGCGACAGGCAGACCGAAAGGAACCGAGGAGCUGCCAAUGAUUGGAAUUAUCUGGGACCGAACACCGUCACAUGCAAGUCUACAGAUUUGCAUGUUUUUAAACUGGUGCCAUCUGAGGUCAUCAGCAUUGACAGUAUGAGAGAUCAUGUGUUCCAAUCACACAAAAAUACACACACACACACACACACACACACACACACACAAUGGAUCAAGUAAUCAUUAGAUGUAGAUAUGAUAUUCUUUAAAGUAAUUGAUCAUUUCAAGUCACCCUGUUAUUGAUCCUCCUUGUUUUUAUGUUGCUUUUAAAUAACAGCGUGUGUCUCAGAGACUGCUUGUUGCAUGUGACACCUUAACAGUUUGUUAAAAUUGUCUUAAAUUGCUAAGAAUAAAUGUGUUCACUUAAAA
Long non-coding RNA from Dicentrarchus labrax (European seabass), 843 nucleotides. RefSeq lists it as uncharacterized. The record is from RefSeq and is a predicted model, not a curated record. NCBI's taxonomy places the organism in Eukaryota, Metazoa, Chordata, Actinopteri, Moronidae. The transcript is spliced from 2 exons.